AUCGCUUCUUGGCCUUUUGGCUAAGAUCAAGUGUAGUGUCUGUUCUUAUCAGUUUAAUCAUAAUCCUGAACAUUUGUAUAGUAUUUAUUAUUAUUAUUAUUUUGACAUGGAGUCUCACUCUGUUGCCCAGGCUGGAGUGUAAUGGAACGGCCUCAGCUCACUGCAA
Molecule: small nuclear RNA, 166 nt
Filed under: Macaca nemestrina (pig-tailed macaque)
Lineage: Eukaryota; Metazoa; Chordata; Mammalia; Primates; Cercopithecidae
Description: U2 spliceosomal RNA (ENSMNEG00000016306.1)
Rfam family: U2 spliceosomal RNA
About the family: U2 is a small nuclear RNA (snRNA) component of the spliceosome (involved in pre-mRNA splicing).
Source: RNAcentral